Molecule: ribosomal RNA, 449 nt
Filed under: uncultured bacterium
Lineage: Bacteria
Description: bacterial SSU rRNA
Rfam family: Bacterial small subunit ribosomal RNA
Source: RNAcentral
GUAGGGAAUCUUCCGCAAUGGGCGCAAGCCUGACGGAGCAACGCCGCGUGAGUGAUGAAGGUUUUCGGAUCGUAAAGCUCUGUUGCCAAGGAAGAACGCCUCGGAGAGUAACUGCUCUGAGGGUGACGGUACUUGAGAAGAAAGCCCCGGCUAACUACGUGCCAGCAGCCGCGGUAAUACGUAGGGGGCAAGCGUUGUCCGGAAUUAUUGGGCGUAAAGCGCGCGCAGGCGGUCUUUUAAGUUUGGUGUUUAAGCCCGGGGCUCAACCCCGGUUCGCACUGAAAACUGGGAGACUUGAGUGCAGGAGAGGAAAGCGGAAUUCCACGUGUAGCGGUGAAAUGCGUAGAGAUGUGGAGGAACACCAGUGGCGAAGGCGGCUUUCUGGACUGUAACUGACGCUGAGGCGCGAAAGCGUGGGGAGCAAACAGGAUUAGAUACCCUGGUAGUCC